GCGUUCGUAGUCAAACGUUUAGGAUAAUUGCUUUCCAAUCAAUAGACCCGGGUUCGACUCUAGGCAAACGUU
Molecule: transfer RNA, 72 nt
Organism: Gossypium arboreum
Lineage: Eukaryota; Viridiplantae; Streptophyta; Magnoliopsida; Malvales; Malvaceae
Rfam family: tRNA
About the family: Transfer RNA (tRNA) molecules are approximately 80 nucleotides in length. Their secondary structure includes four short double-helical elements and three loops (D, anti-codon, and T loops).
Source: Rfam